UACAGAGGGGGCAAGCGUUGUUCGGAAUUACUGGGCGUAAAGGGCCAGUAGGCGGCCUGCUAAGUCACACGUGAAAUCCCCAGGCUUAACCUGGGAACUGCGUGUGAUACUGGAUGGCUUGAAUUCGGGAGAGGGAUGCAGAAUUCCAGGUGUAGCGGUGAAAUGCGUAGAUAUCUGGAGGAAUACCGGUGGCGAAGGCGGCAUCCUGGACCGACAUUGACGCUGAACGGCGAAAGCUAGGGGAGCAAACGGG
This 253-nucleotide ribosomal RNA is filed under the name uncultured bacterium. RNAcentral's name for it is "partial 16S ribosomal RNA". It matches the Rfam family "Bacterial small subunit ribosomal RNA", at positions 524 to 776 of the family's 1533-position model. The record is from RNAcentral.